AUAUUGUGCAUACCGGGAGGGUGAGAACCCUCGACCGGGUUCGACAAAACGCCCUGGCGUUUUGCACCGCCGCAGGCGGCCCGUAGGGUGAGCGCAGCGAAUGUAUCCCUUCCUCACCGCCA
This 122-nucleotide small RNA is filed under the name Gibbsiella quercinecans. RNAcentral's name for it is "RtT sRNA". It matches the Rfam family "RtT RNA". From Rfam's summary of the family: This family represents a bacterial cis-regulatory element known as RtT RNA. The exact function of RtT is unknown although it is thought that it may be involved in changing the cellular response in relation to amino acid starvation. The record is from RNAcentral. Lineage: Bacteria; Pseudomonadati; Pseudomonadota; Gammaproteobacteria; Enterobacterales; Yersiniaceae.